Molecule: long non-coding RNA, 1338 nt
Filed under: Sinocyclocheilus grahami
Lineage: Eukaryota; Metazoa; Chordata; Actinopteri; Cypriniformes; Cyprinidae
Description: lncRNA (ENSSGRG00000011409.1)
Source: RNAcentral
ACCUGGGUGUGAUUGGUUUCCAUUUUGCAAAGGCUGAUAAACGUGGGCGACUUUGCAGAUUACAUUCAAACACUCUGAAGAAAAUAAAAAAGGAGCUGGCUGACAACAUACUUUAUAUAGUUCCUCAGACAGACAUUAUUCUAAAUGAGGUAUAGUAGGAAAUUACAUUAUAGGAAAUUAUAGCACGGCUGUUCUUUGAAGGCACUUUUUUGCACCUGAACCUGCUAGUUGACAAUUACUUGACAAUACCAAACAAUUAAACUGUGCUAUUAAUUUUUCACAGAUGACCACGAACACAAUAUCAUCAGUCAUGUAUGCAAAUGAUUUCUCACCACCACAUUCUCCUCCACCUGUUCCUGCACAACAGAGGCACCGUCUGACUUCAACCAGCAGUUUUCUUUCAGAUUCUAGCCGAAACUCUUCAAUGGAGGACAUGGACUUUGGCUCUUUGCUCAGAGAGUUUCAGCACAUGCAUCUCAGUGGCAGUGAGAAUGUUUCAAUAUUGGUUUCUCGUAACAAGGUGCUGCAGAGUGCUAAAGAUUCUGUUUCCAACUCUAAUUUCCCUUGGACCAAAAUCCCUCUCGUGACAUUUGUUGGCGAGGAAGCACUUGACUGUGGAGGUCCACGCAGAGAGUUUUUCAGAAUCUUGAUGAUGGAGGUGCAAAGCUCGCUGGGCAUCUUUGAGGGGCAGGCUGGACACUUGUUCUUCACCUAUGACCAAAUGGCCUUGGAGGAACACAAGUAUGAGUUGGCGGGGAAGCUGAUUGCAUGGUCUGUGGCUCAUGGCGGACCAGGACUCAAAUCUCUUGACCCCUGCCUGUACCAGCUGAUGUGCACCCAGGAAUGUCAACUGGUAGACUUUGACUGGCACCUAAUACCAGAUGCUGACAUUCAGGACAAACUGCAAAAGAUUUUGUCAUGCAAAACGACGGCAGACCUCCAGAGGCUGCAGACAGAGCUGGGCGACUGGAUCUGUGAAUGUGGUUUCCUUGGAAUAUACAGACAUGACAUUUCUGUCCGAGAUGUAGCAAAGAUUUACUCCUUUGCAGUUCGACACUACAUAUAUCUAAGAACAUCAAAUAUGAUUCAUCAGUUCACAAAGGGACUGAAUGCUUAUGGACAGUUCUGGGAUAUGGUAAGAACUCACUGGGUUGAGUUUCUACCCAUCUUUACCAACAUGCAUGAGCCACUUUCCAGAAGCACGUUCAGAGACUUAUUCCAAAUCCACUGGAGUAAAUCAGGGACCAAGAAGAGGGAGGCUGAGGAGGACACUAUACACUACUGGGAACUGGUGCUUAAGAUGAUUGAAGGUGAGGUAGUUAGUAAAUGAACUGUGAA